GGAUGUCUUGGCAUCAGAAGAAAAGGCGUGGAAGACUGCGAAAAGCCUGGGGGAGUUGUCAAACGAACGUUGAUCCCGGGAUUCCUGUUCAACCCAGGGAACUGAAACAUCUAAGUACCUGGAGGAGAAGAAAGAAAAAUCGAUUCCGUCAGUAGCGGCGAGCGAACGCGGAAUAGCCCAAACCUUGAGGAUUUUCCUCAGGGGGUUGUAGGGCCUUUCAUAUGAGAGUUACAAAGCCACCGAUUAGCCGAUAUGACAUGGAAAGGUCAACCAUAGAGGGUGACAGUCCCG
This 291-nucleotide ribosomal RNA is filed under the name Lingulaulax polyedra. RNAcentral's name for it is "Lingulodinium polyedra partial Bacterial large subunit ribosomal RNA". It matches the Rfam family "Bacterial large subunit ribosomal RNA", at positions 26 to 375 of the family's 2925-position model. The record is from RNAcentral. Lineage: Eukaryota; Dinophyceae; Gonyaulacales; Lingulodiniaceae.